AUUCGAAUUGGCGGAGGCGGAGGUGGUAGUGCGUCGCCGCUCCGCCUCCGCCCUGCUACUAUGCUUUUCAUUGAAUGGUUUGGAUUAUACCAAUUCAAUGCAGAUACUAUCAACGUAACGCCGACAAUAUACAAUUUUUGUCCAAUAAUUUAUCUUUUGUAGAGAUGUGAUUGCUGCAAUCAAAGGUUUAAGCUAGACUGCGAGAGAUUCAGGCUCCGAUGUUUUGUAGGUGUAGCGGUGUGCCCAAAACAGAUAGUGCAAGAAGUUGAGGCCACUUAGUAUGCACAUGAACCAGUAGAAUCUUUCCAAAUGAUAAUGGUUCAAAUUGCUGCCAUAGAGCCACGGUUUAUGAUGGAAUGCGCCUGUGAUGCAGUUGAUCACAUUUACUAGCACUGAACUGAGAUAAUAACCCAUUGCUAGUGAGGCCCAUGAUAGGGAGGUUGCUAGUGACCUCAUGCUGAAUGGUGCCUCGGUGAAGAAGAAAUCCAUCAUGCCAGCCAAGCUGAAAAGAUCGGCUGAACCAAGGAAGAGGUAUUGCAAGGCCACCCAAAGGAAUGUGAUUGGUAGAGGCUCCUUUGAAUUCAUUAGGCCUGUUUGUAUAGCGACAUGCUUCCUCUUCACCUCCACCAUUGCUGCCACGGCCAUGGCCAGGAUUGAGAGGACUAGGCCGGUCCCAAUCCGUUGCAGAUGUGUGAUUCCCAUCUCAGUGUUGGUCAGCUUUCUGGCGAAGGGGACUAUGAUGUGGUCGUAGAGUGGCGCGAGUAUCAUUAUGAAGAGGACAGGAAAUACUGGCAGAGAAGCUGGUGGGAUUUUUAAAGAUCCGAUUUUGGUGUUCAUGGUGGCUGCUUGUUGGACUGAGAAAGUGGAUAGCUGGGCGAGGCAGCAGUUGAGCAUGAUUGUUGACAUGAAUAUUGGAAGGGUCUUAAGGACUGAUUUCACGUCUUCUAUUUGCUUUGUGGUGCAGUGAAGCCUUGGCUGGGCUGGUGCGGCAUCUAAUGCUCUGUUAAGGAACCUGAGAUCUUCUGUGAUGGUUUGGCUUUCGGCCUUUCCUGUAGCGUGUUCUUCAUCCUCUGUCGAACUUGAUGGUGUUCUGCUCACAUUCUCGAUAGCAUUCUUGGUUUUCCUUGAAAUCCAGAACUUGUAUGUUGCAGCUAUCAAAACCUGUCCAGAAAAUUCAAACAGUUACUGACUGCUAGCCUUUGGUGAUUCUUGAAAUUGGUUUGUACUAUUACCUUAAGUAUGGUUGUGAUGGGACUUCCUGUGGGAAUCUUUAUCCUAUAUCUAGUUGAUCCAAGGAGGAAGAUUGGUAUAGAGAUCAAUAUGGCUGCAGUUGCAAUUCCAAAACCCCACUGCCAGCCUUUGUUGUCUUCAAUCCACACCACAAACGUGACUGCAAUCAACGCUCCACAGGCGAGGCAGAAUACGUAGUAAUUGAAGAAUGAUGAUCUCUGUUUCCUUCCUUCUGUAGUGUGCUCGUCAAAUUGCUCGGCUCCAUGAGGAGGAAGUGAGCCUUUAAUCCCACCAACACCUAGUGCAACCAAGUAGAGGCCUGUAAAUAGAAGUACAGCCUUACCCUGGUCAACUUCCUGGCACGUGACGUUUCUGUUGAUGGACUUGCACAUGGGUGGUUUCAGCGACGGAAUAUGAGCUUGCACUGGUAAAAGGUUUCUGCUUUACAGGAUUCUGUUGGUUUUGUCCUUGUCUACAAAACUGGAGUUUUGAAUGAUCACGUGCAGCUAACUAUGAAGAAACUGAGGACGAGGUUUCGUGUCGAAUUUCCUACGUUGAACAAUGAUGCACCGGCCACGGGGGGUUGUUCCGUUCGUGCUCGUGCUGGUCCAGGGGCAGGGCGUGCCACCCCCACUAAGGCUUGCUGGUCUCACUGUGGAGUGGAGGACCCAUCCAUCAAUACAUGACAAGGUAAAGACUAGUGCUGUUUCAAUUCCAAAUUUCUGCUUUUUCAUAAUCAUGCUUUCCUUUUAGGACACUCUCCAUCUCUUUUACUUACUACAGUGAUUUCUACUUCGUGGAAAUGUGAAAAUUUGUGGGAUUAUAUUUUACA
Molecule: long non-coding RNA, 2062 nt
Organism: Salvia miltiorrhiza (redroot sage)
Lineage: Eukaryota; Viridiplantae; Streptophyta; Magnoliopsida; Lamiales; Lamiaceae
Exons: 4
Source: RefSeq, a predicted model, not a curated record